This is a non-coding RNA of Parelaphostrongylus tenuis, 71 nucleotides long. NCBI's taxonomy places the organism in Eukaryota, Metazoa, Nematoda, Chromadorea, Rhabditida, Metastrongylidae. The record is from the annotation of a GenBank genome assembly.
GUAUUGGUGGUUCAAUGGUAGAAUGCUCGCCUGCCACGCACACGACUCAGGUUCGAUUCCGGGCCAAUGUG